This 556-nucleotide ribosomal RNA is filed under the name Aquaspirillum sp. enrichment culture clone B13. RNAcentral describes it as "bacterial SSU rRNA". It matches the Rfam family "Bacterial small subunit ribosomal RNA", at positions 353 to 902 of the family's 1533-position model. The record is from RNAcentral. Lineage: Bacteria; Pseudomonadati; Pseudomonadota; Betaproteobacteria; Neisseriales; Aquaspirillaceae.
AGUGGGGAAUUUUGGACAAUKGGCGCAAGCCUGAUCCAGCAAUGCCGCGUGCAGGAUGAAGGCCUUCGGGUUGUAAACUGCUUUUGUACGGAGCGAAAAGGCUCUCUCUAAUACAGGGGGCUCAUGACGGUACCGUAAGAAUAAGCACCGGCUAACUACGUGCCAGCAGCCGCGGUAAUACGUAGGGUGCAAGCGUUAAUCGGAAUUACUGGGCGUAAAGCGUGCGCAGGCGGUUAUGUAAGACAGAUGUGAAAUCCCCGGGCUCAACCUGGGAACUGCAUUUGUGACUGCAUAGCUAGAGUACGGCAGAGGGGGAUGGAAUUCCGCGUGUAGCAGUGAAAUGCGUAGAUAUGCGGAGGAACACCGAUGGCGAAGGCAAUCCCCUGGGCCUGUACUGACGCUCAUGCACGAAAGCGUGGGGAGCAAACAGGAUUAGAUACCCUGGUAGUCCACGCCCUAAACGAUGUCAACUGGUUGUUGGGUCUUCACUGACUCAGUAACGAAGCUAACGCGUGAAGUUGACCGCCUGGGGAGUACGGCCGCAAGGUUGAAACUC